This 524-nucleotide ribosomal RNA is filed under the name uncultured bacterium. RNAcentral's name for it is "bacterial SSU rRNA". It matches the Rfam family "Bacterial small subunit ribosomal RNA", at positions 1 to 525 of the family's 1533-position model. The record is from RNAcentral.
UAGAGUUUGAUCCUGGCUCAGAUUGACCCUUGGCGGCAUGCUUUACACAUGCAAGUCGAACGGCAGCGCGGGGUCAACCCUGGCGGCGAGUGGCGAACGGGUGAGUAAUGCAUCGGAACGUAUCCUGUAAUGGGGGAUAACGUAGCGAAAGUUACGCUAAUACCGCAUACGCUCGAGAGAGGAAAGUGGGGGAUCGCAAGACCUCACGUUAUAGGAGCGGCCGAUGUCCGAUUAGCUAGUUGGUGGGGUAAAGGCCUACCAAGGCGACGAUCGGUAGCUGGUCUGAGAGGAUGAUCAGCCACACUGGGACUGAGACACGGCCCAGACUCCUACGGGAGGCAGCAGUGGGGAAUUUUGGACAAUGGGCGAAAGCCUGAUCCAGCCAUGCCGCGUGCGGGAAGAAGGCCUUCGGGUUGUAAACCGCUUUAGUCCGGGAAAAAGGGGUGCGAGGAUAAUACCCUCGUGCUUUGAUGGUACUGGAAGAAUAAGCACCGGCUAACUACGUGCCAGCAGCCGCGGUAAUA